RNAcentral lists this transfer RNA (88 nucleotides) under Candidatus Buchananbacteria bacterium RIFCSPHIGHO2_01_FULL_39_14. Its description in RNAcentral is "tRNA-Ser". It matches the Rfam family "tRNA". From Rfam's summary of the family: Transfer RNA (tRNA) molecules are approximately 80 nucleotides in length. Their secondary structure includes four short double-helical elements and three loops (D, anti-codon, and T loops). Lineage: Bacteria; Candidatus Buchananiibacteriota. RNAcentral also lists the same sequence under 2 other names. The record is from RNAcentral.
GGAAGGGUCGCAUAGUGGUCUAGUGCGCCUGCUUGGAGAGUAGGUAUACCGCAAGGUAUCGCGGGUUCAAAUCCCGCCCCUUCCGCCA